This is a long non-coding RNA of Mesocricetus auratus (golden hamster), 754 nucleotides long. RefSeq lists it as uncharacterized. The transcript has 2 exons. NCBI's taxonomy places the organism in Eukaryota, Metazoa, Chordata, Mammalia, Rodentia, Cricetidae. The record is from RefSeq and is a predicted model, not a curated record.
GUUAGCUGUCCACCAGCGCCCUCCGAGGCACGUCCCCGCAACGGUGCCUCGAGGGUCUUCCUGCCUGUGCGCUGCUAUGAAAGGGGGUUGACAAGGACGGCCCUCUGGACGUGUGCGAGCAUCAGAGUGUUGUCGUUCCCGUCCACCCGGGGUGCCAGUGUGACUUGACCUCACGACGGGAGAAAGGGUAGAAAGAAACCCCCCUAAAACCCAGAUUGAGAACGCGGUGUUGUAAAAAAAAAAAAAAAAGAACCGGCUCGGGAAACGUUUCUCGUCGGGGCGACAAUCAGUCCCUUCCCUCCGGUGGAAUGAGGUUCAUGAGAGUGGUCCUUGAAGCUUCCCAGGACCUUUAAGGAGUGGGACUGGCUGGAGAGAGGAGGAACCACGGCUUUCCUAGAAAGGACUUCAAGUGCUUCCUGUGAAAGAAAGGAUCUGAUACAUGUUUCAAAACCUUAAUAACCAUCUUACAACCAUACCUUUGUUUCAAAAGUGUUGUUAUGGCUACCUUGUUAUGACUACCUAUUGCUACAACUACCUUGCAGUCUUUGUUUCGGGAGGUUGCUAAGAGCUUGCUAUGCUUAUGUUCUGCUUUUGUAACCCCUCCUAUUUUGCCCACCAACCCCCCCCACUUGGAAACCCCCUACUGCUGAGCUAUAAAAGCCUUGUCUUGUUCACAUCCGAUGUUGAACUCUAAAACCCCAUCUUAGGAGAAGGCAGCUGGUGUACAUGAAUAAAAAAAGCUUGCUUUAAUUAA